AAGCACUUCCCCCAUCACCGGAUAUCAUUCAUCUGGAUUUUCUUUAUUCCCCUCAUUGAUUUUAUCAUGCAUGGCAGCAGAAGGAUCCCCACCCUUCAUCAGUCCUGAAUCGUCAGCUCCCAAACAUCCUGAGGGAUGGGAGAUUCAGACAUCAUGCAUGAAUGUGAACAGUCAAGGAACCUGGAGGCGAGAAGACUUCCGUUUGAACAAAGAACCAGGAGGGAAGAAAUCCAUUCUUGCUCUCCGUCUCUCUGUAUGGUCCUCCUUCCCUCUCUCUCUUCAGUCAGGCCUUGAGGCUGUAAUGGAAGAGAACUGAAAGCCUCCAACUUUGUCCCCCUGUGCAUUCGUUAGACAGGUUGAUGGUCCUUUGAUUAUGUGAGGAACAUAAACCUCCUUCACAAAGGACAUACCGGGUGGCAGGAGUAGGGGUGCCCAGGUACGACAGGAAGAAAGAGCACUCCCUCUGCUUUUCUCACCCUUGACCUUAGACUGCCUUCGGCUCCUUAACUCACAGAUAAGUCAGAGGCUUGCAGAGUAGGCAGAGGAAUGGGUAGGUGUCUUGAGGAGGGCAGAAGAGCUGUCUGGAUGGGGUCAGCAGGUGCAGGUGUGGGAAUCACUGUCCUUGGGAUGACCCAAAUCUGAUGUAUUACCUGGGUCUGAUGAGAGGACAAGGUGAGCAGAGUCCAAAAUCAGGAGGGGACAAAGACAAAGACACGGAGGGGAGUUAGGAGGCAUCUGCCUGAUGUCAUGUGUUAGGAAAUCACUGGGCUUGUUCUCAGCUGAUUUUGAGCAUAUCCUGGUUUUAUUUGAAAGCAUUAAGCUUUCAGCAAGGCAACUCCUGACUCCACACAGUGUAUAAUGGAGAUCAUUUUUCCUUCUGGAAUCGCCUAUCUCUACCCCUAAGUGACACGGACCUUCGCAAGGAAUUAACGGUCCCAUUUUAAAUACAGCUUGAGAAGAAGAGACCCCACAUCUCUGAGUAAAUGACCACUGCCAUGACCUUGCC
This 1006-nucleotide long non-coding RNA is filed under the name Cricetulus griseus (Chinese hamster). RNAcentral's name for it is "lncRNA (ENSCGRG00015029873.1)". Lineage: Eukaryota; Metazoa; Chordata; Mammalia; Rodentia; Cricetidae. The record is from RNAcentral.